Molecule: ribosomal RNA, 1339 nt
Filed under: Salmonella enterica subsp. enterica serovar Kentucky
Lineage: Bacteria; Pseudomonadati; Pseudomonadota; Gammaproteobacteria; Enterobacterales; Enterobacteriaceae
Description: partial 23S ribosomal RNA
Rfam family: Bacterial large subunit ribosomal RNA
Source: RNAcentral
AGCAACAAAUGCCCUGCUUCCAGGAAAAGCCUCUAAGCAUCAGGUAACAUCAAAUCGUACCCCAAACCGACACAGGUGGUCAGGUAGAGAAUACCAAGGCGCUUGAGAGAACUCGGGUGAAGGAACUAGGCAAAAUGGUGCCGUAACUUCGGGAGAAGGCACGCUGACACGUAGGUGAAGUGAUUUACUCAUGGAGCUGAAGUCAGUCGAAGAUACCAGCUGGCUGCAACUGUUUAUUAAAAACACAGCACUGUGCAAACACGAAAGUGGACGUAUACGGUGUGACGCCUGCCCGGUGCCGGAAGGUUAAUUGAUGGGGUCAGCGCAAGCGAAGCUCCUGAUCGAAGCCCCGGUAAACGGCGGCCGUAACUAUAACGGUCCUAAGGUAGCGAAAUUCCUUGUCGGGUAAGUUCCGACCUGCACGAAUGGCGUAAUGAUGGCCAGGCUGUCUCCACCCGAGACUCAGUGAAAUUGAACUCGCUGUGAAGAUGCAGUGUACCCGCGGCAAGACGGAAAGACCCCGUGAACCUUUACUAUAGCUUGACACUGAACAUUGAGCCUUGAUGUGUAGGAUAGGUGGGAGGCUUUGAAGUGUGGACGCCAGUCUGCAUGGAGCCGACCUUGAAAUACCACCCUUUAAUGUUUGAUGUUCUAACGUGGACCCGUAAUCCGGGUUGCGGACAGUGUCUGGUGGGUAGUUUGACUGGGGCGGUCUCCUCCUAAAGAGUAACGGAGGAGCACGAAGGUUGGCUAAUCCUGGUCGGACAUCAGGAGGUUAGUGCAAUGGCAUAAGCCAGCUUGACUGCGAGCGUGACGGCGCGAGCAGGUGCGAAAGCAGGUCAUAGUGAUCCGGUGGUUCUGAAUGGAAGGGCCAUCGCUCAACGGAUAAAAGGUACUCCGGGGAUAACAGGCUGAUACCGCCCAAGAGUUCAUAUCGACGGCGGUGUUUGGCACCUCGAUGUCGGCUCAUCACAUCCUGGGGCUGAAGUAGGUCCCAAGGGUAUGGCUGUUCGCCAUUUAAAGUGGUACGCGAGCUGGGUUUAGAACGUCGUGAGACAGUUCGGUCCCUAUCUGCCGUGGGCGCUGGAGAACUGAGGGGGGCUGCUCCUAGUACGAGAGGACCGGAGUGGACGCAUCACUGGUGUUCGGGUUGUCAUGCCAAUGGCACUGCCCGGUAGCUAAAUGCGGAAGAGAUAAGUGCUGAAAGCAUCUAAGCACGAAACUUGCCCCGAGAUGAGUUCUCCCUGAGACUUAGAGUCUCCUGAAGGAACGUUGAAGACGACGACGUUGAUAGGCCGGGUGUGUAAGCGCAGCGAUGCGUUGAGCUAACCGGUACUAA